This 460-nucleotide ribosomal RNA is filed under the name uncultured bacterium. RNAcentral describes it as "partial 16S ribosomal RNA". It matches the Rfam family "Bacterial small subunit ribosomal RNA", at positions 338 to 795 of the family's 1533-position model. The record is from RNAcentral.
CCUACGGGGAGCAGCAGUGAGGAAUAUUGGUCAAUGGACGCAAGUCUGAACCAGCCAUGCCGCGUGCAGGAAGACGGCUCUAUGAGUUGUAAACUGCUUUUGUACGAGGGUAAACGCAGAUACGCGUAUCUGUCUGAAAGUAUCGUACGAAUAAGGAUCGGCUAACUCCGUGCCAGCAGCCGCGGUAAUACGGAGGAUUCAAGCGUUAUCCGGAUUUAUUGGGUUUAAAGGGUGCGUAGGCGGUCGGAUAAGUUAGAGGUGAAAUCCCGAGGCUCAACUUCGGAAUUGCCUCUGAUACUGUUAGGCUAGAGAGUAGUUGCGGUAGGCGGAAUGUAUGGUGUAGCGGUGAAAUGCUUAGAGAUCAUACAGAACACCGAUUGCGAAGGCAGCUUACCAAGCUACGUCUGACGUUGAGGCACGAAAGCGUGGGGAGCAAACAGGAUUAGAUACCCGUGUAGUC